RNAcentral lists this ribosomal RNA (758 nucleotides) under uncultured bacterium. RNAcentral describes it as "bacterial SSU rRNA". It matches the Rfam family "Bacterial small subunit ribosomal RNA", at positions 8 to 796 of the family's 1533-position model. The record is from RNAcentral.
AGAGUUUGAUCAUGGCUCAGAACGAACGCUGGCGGCAGGCCUAACACAUGCAAGUCGAACGAAGGUCCGGAGCUUGCUCUGGAUACCUUAGUGGCGCACGGGUGAGUAACGCGUGGGAAUCUGCCCCGGAGCGGGGAAUAACAGUUGGAAACGACUGCUAAUACCGCAUACGCCCUUAGGGGGAAAGGCUUCGGCCACUCUGGGAUGAGCCCGCGUUAGAUUAGCUAGUUGGUGAGGUAAUGGCUCACCAAGGCUACGAUCUAUAGCUGGUCUGAGAGGAUGAUCAGUCACACUGGGACUGAGACACGGCCCAGACUCCUACGGGAGGCAGCAGUGGGGAAUAUUGGACAAUGGGGGAAACCCUGAUCCAGCCAUGCCGCGUGAGUGAAGAAGGCCUUAGGGUUGUAAAACUCUUUCAGUGGUGACGAUGAUGACGGUAACCACAGAAGAAGCCCCGGCUAACUCCGUGCCAGCAGCCGCGGUAAUACGGAGGGGGCUAGCGUUGUUCGGAAUUACUGGACGUAAAGCGCACGUAGGCGGCGCGUCAAGUUAGGGGUGAAAGGCCUGGGCUCAACCUAGGAACUGCCUUUAAUACUGACGUGCUAGAAUGCGGGAGAGGGUAGCGGAAUUCCAAGUGUAGAGGUGAAAUUCGUAGAUAUUUGGAAGAACACCGGUGGCGAAGGCGGCUACCUGGACCGUAAUUGACGCUGAGGUGCGAAAGCGUGGGGAGCAAACAGGAUUAGAUACCCUAGUAGUCC